GAGGAGAUGGUUCAGCAGGUUAAGAGCACUUGUCUUGCAAGCAUGAGGACGCAAGUUCAAAUCCCCUCGUCC
Non-coding RNA from Mesocricetus auratus (golden hamster), 72 nucleotides. NCBI's taxonomy places the organism in Eukaryota, Metazoa, Chordata, Mammalia, Rodentia, Cricetidae. The record is from Rfam.